This 408-nucleotide ribosomal RNA is filed under the name uncultured bacterium. RNAcentral's name for it is "partial 16S ribosomal RNA". It matches the Rfam family "Bacterial small subunit ribosomal RNA", at positions 28 to 525 of the family's 1533-position model. The record is from RNAcentral.
GACGAACGCUGGCGGCGUGCUUAACACAUGCAAGUCGAACGAAGUGGCGAACGGGUGUGUAAUACGUUGGUAACCUGCCCUCCUUUUUGGGAUAAGCUUUGGAAACUGGGUCUAAUACCGAAUAAAGGGGGAUGGGCUCGCGGCCUAUCUGCUUGUUGGUGGGGUGAUGGCGUACCAAGGCGGUGACGGGUAGCCGGCGUGGGAGGGUGAGCGUAGGAAUUGGGAGUGGGUAACGGCGCAGAAUCCUACGGGAGGAAGGAGUGGGGGAUAUUGGACAAUGGGCGAAAGCCUGAUGGAGCGACGGCGCGUGGGGGAUGAAGGCUAUAGGGUUGUAAUACUAUGUAGCUAUCGAACGGAUGGGUGGAGAAGAAGCGCCGGCUAACUACGUGCCAGCAGCCGCGGUAAUUA